AAACAAAUCAAAAAAAAUUUAAAUAUAAAAUGACCAUUAAAAUCAUGGAUCGAAUAUUCCGAUACAAAAUUUAGGAAUAAUUGAUAAAAAUGGAAUACAAACUAGCAUUCAAUCCAGGAUGAAGCUUCAAUUAUACUUUUUCCAAAAGCAAGUCAGUGCUUCUACCAUGGCCAUGGUGUUCCGACCACAAGGCCAUAGGGCGCAAGCGAAACAACUCAAGCACACCGGAAGCGCUUGCAAUUAUUGCCUCCAACAAGCCCAACUCAGGCAGCACCAAAAAGAAAUACGCAUCGCUUUCCUUUGGCCGAUGACCCAG
RNAcentral lists this long non-coding RNA (316 nucleotides) under Phoenix dactylifera (date palm). RNAcentral describes it as "long non-coding RNA (PDAC_LNC002889)". Lineage: Eukaryota; Viridiplantae; Streptophyta; Magnoliopsida; Arecales; Arecaceae. The record is from RNAcentral.